AUUACAAACCAAACCUUCCUGUGAAAUUCUGGUCUCGUCAGAUCUCAGAAGGUAAGCAGGGCUUGGCCUGGUUGGUACUUGUAUGGAAGACUGUUUGGAACACACAGAGGGGUGCUAGUG
This 120-nucleotide ribosomal RNA is filed under the name Periophthalmus magnuspinnatus. Lineage: Eukaryota; Metazoa; Chordata; Actinopteri; Gobiiformes; Gobiidae. The record is from RNAcentral.